Molecule: ribosomal RNA, 429 nt
Filed under: uncultured Comamonadaceae bacterium
Lineage: Bacteria; Pseudomonadati; Pseudomonadota; Betaproteobacteria; Burkholderiales; Comamonadaceae
Description: bacterial SSU rRNA
Rfam family: Bacterial small subunit ribosomal RNA
Source: RNAcentral
UGGGGAAUUUUGGACAAUGGACGCAAGUCUGAUCCAGCCAUGCCGCGUGCGGGAAGAAGGCCUUCGGGUUGUAAACCGCUUUUGUCAGGGAAGAAAUCUUCUGAGUUAAUACCUCGGGAGGAUGACGGUACCUGAAGAAUAAGCACCGGCUAACUACGUGCCAGCAGCCGCGGUAAUACGUAGGGUGCAAGCGUUAAUCGGAAUUACUGGGCGUAAAGCGUGCGCAGGCGGUUAUGCAAGACAGGUGUGAAAUCCCCGAGCUCAACUUGGGAACUGCACUUGUGACUGCAUAGCUAGAGUACGGUAGAGGGGAGUGGAAUUCCGCGUGUAGCAGUGAAAUGCGUAGAUAUGCGGAGGAACACCGAUGGCGAAGGCAGCUCCCUGGACCUGUACUGACGCUCAUGCACGAAAGCGUGGGGAGCAAACAGG